RNAcentral lists this ribosomal RNA (468 nucleotides) under uncultured bacterium. RNAcentral describes it as "partial 16S ribosomal RNA". It matches the Rfam family "Bacterial small subunit ribosomal RNA", at positions 28 to 507 of the family's 1533-position model. The record is from RNAcentral.
GACGAACGCUGGCGGCGUGCUUAACACAUGCAAGUCGAACGGAAAGGCCCGGCUUUUGUGGGGUGCUCGAGUGGCGAACGGGUGAGUAACACGUGAGUAACCUGCCCUUGACUUUGGGAUAACUUCAGGAAACUGGGGCUAAUACCGGAUAGGAGCUCCCGCUGCAUGGGGGGGGUGGGAAAGUUUCGGCGGUUGGGGAUGGACCCGCGGCUUAUCAGCUUGUUGGUGGGGUAGUGGCUUACCAAGGCUUGGACGGGUAGCCGGCCUGAGAGGGUGACCGGCCACAUUGGGACUGAGAUACGGCCCAGACUCCUACGGGAGGCAGCAGUGGGGAAUAUUGCACAAUGGGCGGAAGCCUGAUGUAGCAACGCCGCGUGGGGGAUAACGGCCUUCGGGUUGUAAAGCGCUUUCGUUUGUGACGAAGCGUGAGUGACGGUAAUGGGUAAAGAAGCACCGGCUAACUACGUG